CCAUGUUGGGAUUCCGGUCUCGUCAAUGUCUUCAA
RNAcentral lists this small RNA (35 nucleotides) under Arabidopsis thaliana (thale cress). RNAcentral describes it as "ATSL128680". Lineage: Eukaryota; Viridiplantae; Streptophyta; Magnoliopsida; Brassicales; Brassicaceae. The record is from RNAcentral.